CCUACGGGGGGCUGCAGUGGGGAAUAUUGGACAAUGGGGGGAACCCUGAUCCAGCCAUGCCGCGUGUGUGAAGAAGGCCCUCGGGUUGUAAAGCACUUUCAGUGAGGAAGAACGCCUGGUGGUUAAUACCCAUCAGGAAAGACAUCACUCACAGAAGAAGCACCGGCUAACUCCGUGCCAGCAGCCGCGGUAAUACGGAGGGUGCGAGCGUUAAUCGGAAUUACUGGGCGUAAAGCGCGCGUAGGUGGCUUGAUAAGCCGGUUGUGAAAGCCCCGGGCUCAACCUGGGAACGGCAUCCGGAACUGUCAAGCUAGAGUGCAGGAGAGGAAGGUAGAAUUCCCGGUGUAGCGGUGAAAUGCGUAGAGAUCGGGAGGAAUACCAGUGGCGAAGGCGGCCUUCUGGACUGACACUGACACUGAGGUGCGAAAGCGUGGGUAGCAAACAGGAUUAGAUACCCCUGUAGC
RNAcentral lists this ribosomal RNA (464 nucleotides) under Vreelandella stevensii. Its description in RNAcentral is "partial 16S ribosomal RNA". It matches the Rfam family "Bacterial small subunit ribosomal RNA", at positions 338 to 794 of the family's 1533-position model. Lineage: Bacteria; Pseudomonadati; Pseudomonadota; Gammaproteobacteria; Oceanospirillales; Halomonadaceae. The record is from RNAcentral.